Molecule: ribosomal RNA, 735 nt
Filed under: Pseudonocardineae bacterium GUDS1196
Lineage: Bacteria; Bacillati; Actinomycetota; Actinomycetes; Pseudonocardiales
Description: bacterial SSU rRNA
Rfam family: Bacterial small subunit ribosomal RNA
Source: RNAcentral
UCGAACGCUGAAGCCCUUCGGGGUGGAUGAGUGGCGAACGGGUGAGUAACACGUGGGUAAUCUGCCCUGCACUCUGGGAUAAGCCUUGGAAACGGGGUCUAAUACCGGAUAGGACACGUGGCCGCAUGGUCUGCGUGUGGAAAGUUCCGGCGGUGCAGGUUGAGCCCGCGGCCUAUCAGCUUGUUGGUGGGGUGAUGGCCUACCAAGGCGACGACGGGUAGCCGGCCUGAGAGGGUGACCGGCCACACUGGGACUGAGACACGGCCCAGACUCCUACGGGAGGCAGCAGUGGGGAAUCUUGCGCAAUGGGCGAAAGCCUGACGCAGCAACGCCGCGUGGGGGAUGACGGCCUUCGGGUUGUAAACCUCUUUCGACAUCGACGAAGCCUUCGGGUGACGGUAGGUGUAGAAGAAGCACCGGCUAACUACGUGCCAGCAGCCGCGGUAAUACGUAGGGUGCGAGCGUUGUCCGGAAUUAUUGGGCGUAAAGAGCUCGUAGGCGGUUUGUCGCGUCGGCCGUGAAAACCUGCCGCUUAACGGUGGGCGUGCGGUCGAUACGGGCAGACUUGAGUUCGGUAGGGGAGACUGGAAUUCCUGGUGUAGCGGUGAAAUGCGCAGAUAUCAGGAGGAACACCGGUGGCGAAGGCGGGUCUCUGGGCCGAUACUGACGCUGAGGAGCGAAAGCGUGGGGAGCGAACAGGAUUAGAUACCCUGGUAGUCCACGCCGUAAACGGUG